This is a long non-coding RNA of Amphiprion ocellaris (clown anemonefish), 3054 nucleotides long. RefSeq lists it as uncharacterized. The record is from RefSeq and is a predicted model, not a curated record. The transcript is spliced from 4 exons. Lineage: Eukaryota; Metazoa; Chordata; Actinopteri; Pomacentridae.
CACUGUUCUUCCAGUCUGUUCCAUCCUUACAGCGGACCAGUGGCUGCUGGUUCCACCUGGUCUAAACAGGGUUAAAUAGAUGAUUAUACUUCCAGUGGUGCGUGUUUAAUAUGAGAAGAGUUUUUCCUCUCAGCAUCUCAGGGUGAGAGAACAGCACUGCCUUGUGUUGUAGAGCAUAAUGCCCCCAUGUUCCUAUAAAUCAUGUGAUAAAAUGGAUAAAACAAAGCCUGAUUUGGUUGUUUCAGCUUCUACGUUGUUGAGGUGACCUUGAGGAAGUCACCUUUAUCCCUGACAGCACCAGACUACUACAUGUGCAGAGCCACUGACUGUACAGCAGGAAUAAUUCUGUUUUCUGAUGUAUUUUCUCUCAGUAUCAGCGCUAUAAGUCUCCAGCAUAAAUCUGUCUCUCCAAGACAAGAAGCAUUAGUAGUUUAGUCAGACGUGCUGAGGUCAAAGAAAUGACCAUAGCAUCAGCUUUUAAUCACGUCAGCGAUUAACACUUAAGGAGGAGGCUGGGAUGGAGGAGAACAGAUGAGAGCUGAAGGGAGAAGGUUCAGGCUUUAGCUGCGACCUCUCCACCUGUGUGAAUACGAUGAAGUUACGCUGAUGAUGGAGCACCAACACUUGCAAAGAAAUGUAUUUUUGUGAGUUAGACAAAUUUUUUAAAUUUUCCACACCACCAAACCUUUUAUCCAGAAGAUCCAAAGAAAAUUUACAAAAGGAACUAAACUUAUUAGUUUUUUGUGUGGUAAAGAAGCAAAGUUCUCAAUUAUUCAGUUACAAAUAAUAAGGAGUUUAUGAAACUCUGACUAUCAGCCAGGUCGAUUAUCCAAUCUGGUAUUUUUUUUGAUGAUGCAGUUUUCCCAAUAUUGAUAUGGGUAUUUUUAAAAUCAUUUUACUGAUUUAAAAAAAAUAAGUUUUUACUCCGCCAAGGAACAGCGGAGUUAUGCGACGAUUGGCGUACGUCUGUCUGUCUGUCUGUCUGUCUGUCUGUCUGUCUGUCUGUCUGUCUGUCUGUUAGCAACAUUACUCAAAAACGAAAUAACAGAUUUGGAUGAAAUUUUCAGUGAAGGUCAGAAAUGACACAAGGACCAAGUGAUUAGAUUUUGGCAGCAAUGCAGCUUAUAGUCUGAAUCCACGGAUUUGUUUAAGAUUUCUGUAUCAUUGCAAGAUAGACAGCGUCACUGUAACUAUGACAACAAGUGAACACUUGUCAGCUGCCUGCUGAUGAUCACAUGAUUGUGAUUCUAUGAUAAAUCCACCACUGUGGACUUAUCAGGACUUAUCCAUCUGAAAUGAUACAAGAAACAAUUGAUUAAAUUGUGGGGGUAUUUCUGAGUCCCAUUAAUUCCUGCCGCCUGCUACAUAUUUAGGUCACGUGAUUCGGUAUCUGUACAUAAUGUACACAUGCAUAACACGCCUGUGCUCAGCGCAAGGUCAUUUUGUUUGUGGGUACAUCUAUAUGUGACCGGCUGAUUAGCCAUCAUGCCAUACAGCUGUGGGGGAACUAAUGAUUGGUUUGGCCGUUGCAGCAGGGGGUUCGAAUUGAUUGACGGACAUAGCGCCAGUAUACUCCUGAACACUCCCGGACAGACCAGUCUUCUGUGGCUGCAGUGCCGAGUCCGCCGACAAUGUCUCGGUUUAUCGACGGCGUCAUGCGCGUGUCGGGUCGGACAGCCGAGAUAUUGAGAGAUUCAACACUGUGAACCCUCCUGAGCUGGGAUUCCCCUUGCUGCGCGUGGGGCUUAGCAUGGUCGGGUUUUUUUUGGAUCGGAUUUGGAAAUCUUGAGAAGAGCCAAGGAUCAAUUUCCAGUACUGGAUGGCAAGCAUCAUACCAAAGAGUCGAACAAACUGGUAGCUUGUAACCCAACUGGUUACAAACACACACCUGUGAACACUGAACUUUGAACCAUUGACACUGAAAGAUUGAAAGACUGAAACAAACAAAAAAAAAACAAACACUAAAGACAAAAAGGACUUUUUAUUUCAUUUUGUUUAUCUUUCAUUCUCUUUUUGAAAGCUCUUUUUUUUUUUUUUAAUACUGUGCACAGACCCCUUCACAAUUUAAACUUUGCAAUUAAAUGCAAAUUGUCUUUUAAUACGGUGUCAUCUCCCUUGUUUUCGCACACCCUGGCCUCCUGCGAAUUUAAAGUCUUCUGAUCUGGCCUAUCCUCUUUUCUACUGUAGUACUUUGGUUAAAGGUAACUGUACAAAGACAGUACAGAAGCACUUUAAGUGUUACAGUGUGCUAGCCACUUCUCUGUCAUAGUCCCUUUGUGAUCUUAAGCAAUAUCCAGCCCACUGCAUUAUCUCCUUGGUUAUACAUCAGUAAUAGACAAACAGUGGGUAGAAAUCUCUUUUAAUGACACAUUUGAAAAACAUACAUAAAGACAUUCCAAUUUAGUUUAGCAAAUACAUGAUGAAUAUCAGUUAUCAGUCUCCUUGAUUACUAAUAAUUGAUAUUGGCCAUGAAAAACUAUAUUGAUGGACCCUAAUCUCUGCCAUUUCUCUAGAAACCCCAAAGGAGCUGCUAUAAAAUAACACAAAUCAAAUAAAAUCCUUUUAGAAUAACCAUAGUUUUAACAGAGUCACGCAGCAGAGAGUAGAAGAUUUAAAACCCACCUGUCUGACAGGUAGAGAGGGACUAUUCUACAUCAUUACCUGUCUGUGUAGUUUCAGGACUUUCAGCCUCACAUGGAUUCUAACUGAUCACUAACAGAGGUCAGCUCAGGUCACAGCGAACAUGAACUCUUCUAAAAACAUCCACUGUGAUAACACUCCUCAUUUCCCACUACGUGCUGCUUCCCAUUUCAAUUUCAAAUGAACCAGCUGCUGAAUUCUGAAAUUGGGGUGUUGAGUCCCUUUAAUGUUUUGUUAAUGAGGCAUCACAGCAGAUGAAGUAUUGGGGGCUGCAGUGGGUCAACACACUGCUGGUCUGGAAGCAGCCAUAAAGCUCUGAAUGAUACAGGAAGCAAACAGCAUCCAAAGCCGGAGUGUCUCCCCCCCCUCCUCCUGCCUCCUUGUAAUAUCUUCACUAAAAAUAGAGCAGCUAGA